This 205-nucleotide ribosomal RNA is filed under the name uncultured bacterium. RNAcentral's name for it is "partial 16S ribosomal RNA". It matches the Rfam family "Bacterial small subunit ribosomal RNA", at positions 1296 to 1500 of the family's 1533-position model. The record is from RNAcentral.
GAUUGUAGUCUGCAACCCGACUACACGAAGCUGGAAUCGCUAGUAAUCGCGAAUCAGAAUGUCGCGGUGAAUACGUUCCCGGGUCUUGUACACACCGCCCGUCACACCAUGGGAGUCGGAAAUGCCCGAAGUCAGUGACCCAACCGUAAGGAGGGAGCUGCCGAAGGUGGAGCCGGUAACUGGGGUGAAGUCGUAACAAGGUACC